RNAcentral lists this ribosomal RNA (420 nucleotides) under uncultured bacterium. RNAcentral's name for it is "bacterial SSU rRNA". It matches the Rfam family "Bacterial small subunit ribosomal RNA", at positions 355 to 773 of the family's 1533-position model. The record is from RNAcentral.
UAAGGAAUAUUGGUCAAUGGACGCAAGUCUGAACCAGCCAUGCCGCGUGAAGGAUGAAGGUCCUCUGGAUUGUAAACCUCUUUUAUCUGGGACGAAAACGGGAUUUUUAUCUCAAUUGACGGUACCAGAGGAAUAAGCACCGGCUAACUCCGUGCCAGCAGCCGCGGUAAUACGGAGGGUGCGAGCGUUAUCCGGAUUUACUGGGUUUAAAGGGUGCGUAGGUGGGCUUAUAAGUCAGUGGUGAAAUCUCCGAGCUUAACUUGGAAACUGCCGUUGAUACUAUAGGUCUUGAAUUAUCUGGAGGUAAGCGGAAUAUGUCAUGUAGCGGUGAAAUGCUUAGAUAUGACAUAGAACACCAAUUGCGAAGGCAGCUUACUACAUAUAAAUUGACGCUGAGGCACGAAAGCGUGGGGAUCAAAC